Camelus ferus (Wild Bactrian camel) is the source of this 73-nucleotide transfer RNA. It matches the Rfam family "tRNA". From Rfam's summary of the family: Transfer RNA (tRNA) molecules are approximately 80 nucleotides in length. Their secondary structure includes four short double-helical elements and three loops (D, anti-codon, and T loops). Further hydrogen bonds mediate the characteristic L-shaped molecular structure. tRNAs have two regions of fundamental functional importance: the anti-codon, which is responsible for specific mRNA codon recognition, and the 3' end, to which the tRNAs corresponding amino acid is attached (by aminoacyl-tRNA synthetases). tRNAs cope with the degeneracy of the genetic code in two manners: having more than one tRNA (with a specific anti-codon) for a particular amino acid; and 'wobble' base-pairing, i.e. permitting non-standard base-pairing at the 3rd anti-codon position. The record is from Rfam. NCBI's taxonomy places the organism in Eukaryota, Metazoa, Chordata, Mammalia, Artiodactyla, Camelidae.
GAGGGUAUAGUGCAAAUGGUAGAGCACAUGCUUAGCAUGCAGGAGGUCCUGGGUUCAAUCCCAGGUACCUCCU